GAUGAAGAAGGUAGCGAAAUGCGAUAAGUAAUGUGAAUUGCAGAAUUCAGUGAAUCAUCGAAUCUUUGAACGCACAUUGCGCCCCUUGGUAUUCCGAGGGGCAUGCCUGUUCGAGCGUCAUUAUAACCCCUCAAGCUCAGCUUGGUGUUGGGGCCUGCUGCACUGGCAGCCCUUAAAAUCAGUGGCGGCGCCAUCUGGCUCUAAGCGUAGUAAUUCUUCUCGCUAUGGAGUCCUGGUGGAUGCUUGCCAUCAACCCCCAAUUUUUCUAUGGUUGACCUCGGAUCAGGUAGGGAUACCCGCUGAACUUAAGCAUAUCAAUAAGCGGAGGA
RNAcentral lists this unclassified non-coding RNA (329 nucleotides) under soil metagenome. RNAcentral's name for it is "partial contains 5.8S ribosomal RNA, internal transcribed spacer 2, and large subunit ribosomal RNA". The stretch from base 1 to 120 matches the Rfam family "5.8S ribosomal RNA", at positions 35 to 154 of the family's 154-position model. The record is from RNAcentral.